CCUACGGGAGGCAGCAGUAGGGAAUAUUGGACAAUGGGCGCAAGCGUGAUCCAGCCAUGCCGCGUGAGUGAUGAAGGCCUUAGGGUUGUAAAGCUCUUUUGCCUGGGAAGAUAAUGACGGUACCAGGAGAAUAAGCCCCGGCUAACUUCGUGCCAGCAGCCGCGGUAAUAUGAAGGGGGCUAGCGUUGUUUGGAUUUACUGGGCGUAAAGCGCACGUAGGCGGAUCUUUAAGUCAGGGGUGAAAUCCCGGGGCUCAACCUCGGAACUGCCUUUGAUACUGGGGAUCUUGAGUAUGGGAGGGGUGAGUGGAACUCCGAGUGUAGAGGUGAAAUUCGUAGAUAUUCGGAAGAACACCAGUGGCGAAGGCGACUCACUGGCCCAUUACUGACGCUGAGGCUCGAAAGCGUGGGGAGCAAACAGGAUUAGAUACCCUGGUAGUCCACGCCGUAAACGAUGAGUGCUAGUUGUCGGCAUGCAUGCAUGUCGGUGACGCAGCUAACGCAUUAAGCACUCCGCCUGGGGAGUACGGUCGCAAGAUUAAAACUCAAAGGAAUUGACGG
Molecule: ribosomal RNA, 560 nt
Filed under: uncultured bacterium
Lineage: Bacteria
Description: bacterial SSU rRNA
Rfam family: Bacterial small subunit ribosomal RNA
Source: RNAcentral